UUUGCCUACGGGGGGCAGCAGUGGGGAAUAUUGCACAAUGGGCGCAAGCCUGAUGCAGCCAUGCCGCGUGUAUGAAGAAGGCCUUCGGGUUGUAAAGUACUUUCAGCGGGGAGGAAGGCGAUAAGGUUAAUAACCUUGUCGAUUGACGUUACCCGCAGAAGAAGCACCGGCUAACUCCGUGCCAGCAGCCGCGGUAAUACGGAGGGUGCAAGCGUUAAUCGGAAUUACUGGGCGUAAAGCGCACGCAGGCGGUCUGUCAAGUCGGAUGUGAAAUCCCCGGGCUCAACCUGGGAACUGCAUUCGAA
This 305-nucleotide ribosomal RNA is filed under the name uncultured bacterium. Its description in RNAcentral is "bacterial SSU rRNA". It matches the Rfam family "Bacterial small subunit ribosomal RNA", at positions 334 to 631 of the family's 1533-position model. The record is from RNAcentral.